Molecule: long non-coding RNA, 279 nt
Filed under: Prunus persica (peach)
Lineage: Eukaryota; Viridiplantae; Streptophyta; Magnoliopsida; Rosales; Rosaceae
Description: long non-coding RNA (PPER_LNC003038)
Source: RNAcentral
AAGAAUAAUAAUAUGAGCAAUUCGGAGCAUAACUGAAUAUUUGCGCUACUUUGUUUGACAUAGUAUUAGAGCCAAGUUCUCUUGUGACCUGUGCUUGCAUUCUUCUUGCAAUUUAAGUGCUCUCCUCCCCUCAUCUUCAAGGGGGGAGGGGGGAGUGAAAAUGGAUAUGUUUCUAUUUCCUAUAUCUUAUCUCUCUCUAAUGUGUUGCUUGCCCCAUUACCUUAACGUAUUCCCACGAAGAAAUUGUUUAUUUCUUGGCUCCAACGACCCCUUCUCUUU